GACGAACGCUGGCGGCGUGCUUAACACAUGCAAGUCGAACGGAAAGGCCCUGCUUUUGUGGGGUGCUCGAGUGGCGAACGGGUGAGUAACACGUGAGUAACCUGCCCUUGACUUUGGGAUAACUUCAGGAAACUGGGGCUAAUACCGGAUAGGAGCUCCUGCUGCAUGGUGGGGGUUGGAAAGUUUCGGCGGUUGGGGAUGGACUCGCGGCUUAUCAGCUUGUUGGUGGGGUAGUGGCUUACCAAGGCUUUGACGGGUAGCCGGCCUGAGAGGGUGACCGGCCACAUUGGGACUGGGAUACGGCCCAGACUCCUGGGGGGGGGAGCGGUGGGGAAUUUGGAAAAAUGGGGGGAAGCCUGAGGCAGCAACGCCGCGGGCGGGAUGACGGCCUUCGGGUUGUAAACCGUUUUCGCCUGUGACGAAGCGUGGGUGCCGGUAAUGGGUAAAGAAGCACCGGCUAACUACGU
This 467-nucleotide ribosomal RNA is filed under the name uncultured bacterium. RNAcentral describes it as "partial 16S ribosomal RNA". It matches the Rfam family "Bacterial small subunit ribosomal RNA", at positions 28 to 506 of the family's 1533-position model. The record is from RNAcentral.